RNAcentral lists this unclassified non-coding RNA (2059 nucleotides) under Hevea brasiliensis (rubber tree). Lineage: Eukaryota; Viridiplantae; Streptophyta; Magnoliopsida; Malpighiales; Euphorbiaceae. The record is from RNAcentral.
GAUAGACUUCAUUCAACCAUUAAACAUCAUGACAAAAGAUAAAUACAGUACUUGCAGUCUUUGAUGCAGAUAUAAUGCACUUAUCUCAUAUAAUUCGGCAAUAAUUGUAUUAUAUUCUUCUCUCAAUAUAUCAUUAUUUCAUUGCUGCUUCAGUCCUCCCUGUAUCACUCGAUCACACACGUUCCACAUAUGCUGCUUCAACAACUGCUGCUCUUGACUAUCUGGAUCCUCGUAUGAGUCCUACUAGCUCGACCUAGCCCCAAUAUUUCUUCCAAGGUAUACUCCCCCCAAACACUUGGACGUAUGUCUUGCUCUGUUAUACUUUCGCAUACCUUUGCCCAUCCCUUAUGAAACUUGAGAAAAAACUGAGAUUCGUCAAAUUCCAUAAAUUUAGAUUUAAGUAUUUCUUUUGCAGUAUGCGCCAUGGCAUCCGUUGUUGAAAUCCCUACAUGAAAGCAGAGCUCACCUUCUGCUUGUCUCUCAGUACCAACAACAAUUGAUCGACAAUUAAAGCACGAUGCUACUCUCUCUAUUACCAUACCUUCAGGUAAAUUCAGUCUCUCAACAUGUCUUAGAGUUAAGAGGAUAAACCUCCGUAAGUUUAUGUUCUUUUUUUGCAUUUUCUCAUUUUUCAUUGACAUAUACAUUGGUAUGGUCGUGUUUCGAUUCCAGUCCCCACUCUUCCCACCAGUUUUAGACUCAAGCUGUACUUUUGUUAUCUGGAUUCUUUUGGAAGCAGCCUUGCACAUAUCAUACACUGUCAGGCCAGCUGUGGUUACAGCUGUCAGUGCCUCCAUUUCAACACCUGUUGUCCCAGUAGUUGCAGCUUCUCCUUCAAUCUCAACACUGUAAUCGUCUGGAUUCAGUAUUAGAUCUACACGAACAUGAGAUAGGGUGAUAUUGUGACAAAGUGGGAUGAGGCUGCUUGUGUGCUUUGCUCCAUUUAUGCCAGCUAUUUUGGCAACAGUAAGAACAUCUCCUUUUGACAUUUGGUUGGCUAAAACCAUAUCAAACACUUUCUUGCCCAGAAUUACCUUGCAACUAGCAAUGGCGGUUCUCUUACUAGCUUCUUUGGAAGACACAUCCACCAUUUGUGCUUCUCCUGUACUACCAACAUGAGUCAACCUAGGUGCAUUUUGAUUCAUGUUCUUAGAUACAGAUUGGGAUUCUAGAUCCUGCGCCAAAUAGUCAUUACUUGUAGAACUAGCAAGACCAUGAGAAGUGAACUGUGGUUCUCGUGGCAUAAAAUCAUUAUUGAUAGAACCAUCAAGUCCAUCAGAAGGAAGUUCACCAAAGACAGAUUCCAUUUCCUUAUUCAGCUCCAGGACGGCACUUGCAAGAUCGUGAGUAUUUUUAGCAGCAAGAAACCUUCUUGAGUGAGGCAAUGCUGCUGCAGCUCGCCGAAGAAACAUGACGAACGGAAUCCAAUAUGCGUUCUAUGGCUUCCAGGGAAAUGGGAAAACAUAUUUAAAAAAAAAAAUCAUUUAUAAGGUCUUAUCAGUUUAAAAUUUGUAAAAAAAUAAAAACGAAACACCUUCAGUGGAUAUGACAUAAUCAUUAUCUUGUUCUGAUCCCAAGUAAGACCUUUGCAAAAUGGCACCCAAACAAAAGCAGAUGAAGGAGCAAGUCAAAUAUGAUGCAGAAGCGUGUUGUUUAGGCAUUUUAGCAAACAUGUGAUGAUCACUAAGUGAUUAACAAGCAAACAACAAAAUGACUGCAAAAGGAACACGUAGCGCACAAGUAAAGCUGUGCAAGGAGAGUCUAGUUUUCAGGCACCUUCGAAGAAUGGAUUGGAGACACCAAUUCUGAGGUUGGCGUUAUAUUUGCAAGUUGUUCUUGUCGACGAAAAAUUUAAGAAUUUUGAUGCAUCGGAGAGGUGGAGCCUCUACCACAACUGCCCAAAACGGCUGAAAGCAGUAAUUUAAUUCAAUCUUGUCCUAACCGUACUACGACGUCGUUCGACACACGUUGGCACGUCCGUAUUGCUUCCCUUCCUUUAUUCAUCGAGGCUUUCCCUUUUCUAAAAAAAUAAUAAUAAUUUUUCUGUAACUGAACUUGC